Molecule: ribosomal RNA, 417 nt
Filed under: uncultured bacterium
Lineage: Bacteria
Description: bacterial SSU rRNA
Rfam family: Bacterial small subunit ribosomal RNA
Source: RNAcentral
UUUAAUUCGAAGCAACGCGAAGAACCUUACCAGGUCUUGACAUCCCCUGACAACCCGAGAGAUCGGGCGUUCCCCCUUCGGGGGGACAGGGUGACAGGUGGUGCAUGGUUGUCGUCAGCUCGUGUCGUGAGAUGUUGGGUUAAGUCCCGCAACGAGCGCAACCCUCGACCUUAGUUGCCAGCAUUCAGUUGGGCACUCUAAGGUGACUGCCGGCUAAAAGUCGGAGGAAGGUGGGGAUGACGUCAAAUCAUCAUGCCCCUUAUGACCUGGGCUACACACGUGCUACAAUGGGCGGUACAAAGGGUCGCGAACCCGCGAGGGGGAGCCAAUCCCAAAAAGCCGCUCUCAGUUCGGAUUGCAGGCUGCAACUCGCCUGCAUGAAGUCGGAAUCGCUAGUAAUCGCGGAUCAGCAUGCCG